AAGGCCCUUUGUCUUGGGGAAAGCGGCAAUUGAUCAGUUCUCUUAGAGCCAGAUAGCUGGGCUUUUCAGGGCAGAUGCUAAUGCUGCCCUUUAGAAAGCUCAGGAAUGCAGGUGACCUUCUUGGGUAACAACCUCCUUCCUCGCGGCUUGUCUGUCAUGUUGUCUGCACAGGGAUAUGCUUGGAGAACGUAGGGCCUCAGGGUCCUACGGAAUAAAAUCAACGAUUUGUUGAAGCUCCCUAUGAAGCCAGAACUUACAGAGGAGCCAUUGGGAUGUGACGGGGGUAGAAAGAGAAGAGUCAACGGCGUGUGUGUGGUCUCCAGUUUAGAAGACAGAGAGAGUGCUGCUCCCAGGACUGGAAUGGGGAUGCUGAUCGGCACCAUCUUGUUCACUGUCGAAUCCCCCAAGUUCAGCACAGUGACGAGCGCCUAACAGAUGCUUUAGACAUAUUUUUGGAUGAUUCAAUAAAUAAAUGAACAAAACUGAAGUCAGCAUGUGCUCUCAGAGAAAGUGAAGGAAUAAAUCAGGGGUCAAAAACUCUUUCCCUGGGGCCAGCCCGGUGGCGCAGCGGUUAAGUUCGCACAUUCCACUUCGGUGGCCGGGUGCCGGUGUUCACCGGUUCGGAUCCCGGAGGCAGACAUGGCACCGCUUGGCAAGCCAUGCUGUGGUAGGAGUCCCACAUAUAAAGCAGAGGAAGAUGGGGACGGAUGUUAGCUCAGGGCCAGUCUUCCUCAACAAAAAGAGGAGGAUUGGCAGCAGUUAGCUCAGGGCUGAUCUUCCUCAAAAAAAAAAAAAAAAACUCUUUCCCUUCAGGGCCCCUAUUAGUCAGGGCUCAGCUGCAGAUAAGAGUAACCAAUCCACCUAGUUUAAGCAGAAAUGAAUUUAAUUCCAGGAAUUAAGUGCCUACAGAGUCAUUGGAAGUGAUGGAGGAACAGAUAAUCUCUAGGCUGAGAAGAGAUUCCAAAAAACCCCACAGAACUGGUCCACCGAGGGAAAGGAAUUGCUACUUCUGCUAUAAUCAGGAAGCUACAGGGGUAGGAGGCAACUGCUGGCUCCAUGUCUACACCACUGGCGGUUGGGGGUCAAAAAGCUGCCCCUAGAACAGCUGGCUCCAGAGCCGCGUUGUACCUGCUGGAAUCCACCACAGCAAAACAGCUGCUGCCACUCUCCCCUGCGAGUCCCAGUAAGUGUGUCCCAUGGUGACUGAGUCCCUCCUGGAGCCACACCUGCAGCGAGUUUGGGAAAUGCAGACCCUAGCUUUCCAGCCUCUGCCGUGGAGGAAGUUAUCCCAGAAGGAGGUUGGAACAGAAGCUGAGUGAGCCAACCGACGCUCUCCACUACAGGUGCCAAGCAGAUGCAUGUGCUGCACCUGGAACCUCAAGCACCAGGCAUCUUCGUGAACACCCCCUUCCGACCCAAGCGCACACACUGAGGAAAGGCCGUGCGAGGGCCCUGUGAGAAGGUGGCCUUCUGGAAACCGGGAAUAGAGUCCUCAUGGAACCAACACUGCCAGGACCUUCAUCGUGGACGUCCAGCCCCCAGAACUGUGAGAUAAUAAAUGUCUGUCGUUUAAGCCCCUGGCCCGUGGUGUUGUGUUACAGCAGACUGGGCAGGCUAGGAGUAUUCCACACACUAUUUCCUAAACUGUUUUUUUCAUUUGAUAGUGCACAGUAGACGUCUUUUGAGGUCCUUCUCUGUAAGGGCUACCUCAUCAUUUUUAACACCUGCAUUCAGCUUAUACCAAAUGUUUCUGAAAUCGAGGCUUUUUAUGUGCCUUCUGUCUUGGAGCAAGGACUCCCGAGAGCAGCAUCGUGAGCCUGGCUGAGGGGAGACCCAAGGACGGCCGGGACCCAGCCUCCACGCCAGGCCUACGCUGCAGAGCCCACAUCCCCGACAGCUCUGCAGGCAGACAAGUGAAGGCACUGGUCGUCCCCACCGGGGACAAGCCCCCCGUGACAGCGCCAUGUCCAGUGGGCAGGGGCUGCCUUCUCCGGUUGCUCAGGAGUGAGCAGUUCCGCUGCCCACUCUCCCCUCCCUCCACCCGCGCAUCAUUCUUGAGCUGCUGCCAUAGGAACUUGCCAGGCAGAGGGUUGGUGAAGCCUUCCCACCACUGCCUGGAUGGGCUGCAGCAGUCCCCCCGCCCGCCACCUGCUCCCCGGCACAGGCUGCACGUUAGAAUCAUGAAAUCGCUAUGUCGAAGAGAGAUCUGCACCCAGUGUUCACCGCAGCACUAUUCACAACAGCCAAGACGUGGGAACGACCUGGGUGUCCAUCGACAGAUGAAUGGAUAAAGAAAACGUGGGUCAAGGUUCUGCAGACUUCUCAACAGAUCUCUGAAUCCGCCUGGUCCAGGUCCCCCGCCCAGGGAGCCAUACUCAGAACAAGAGCAGCUGGGAGUCAAAGCACAUUUGGUUCACGUCCAAAGUAGCAUCCGACAGCCCUCCAGGAGGGGGCUCCCUGGGAGAAACCAGGUUGGCCAGGAGGCUCCAGCUAUCUGAGCUCCUCCCCCUGAAACUGAACUGAACUGAAGGUGUCUGGGGCUGUAGGGCAGCCUAGAAGCAGUGAGACCACCAGCGGCAGGCGUGGGGAGGGCAGACCCCACCUCUGUGCGCUUGCCACAUAGGUACAGACAGCGCCUGGGGGCUUCCUUCCAAGGUGGUGUGACUGCCCAUUAGCAAAAUGCGGCCAAGCGAAUGCCAAGUUCUGAUCAGUCAGGUCAGCAACUCCCCUCCCCCAGAAUGAGGAACACCCUCCUCCCAACAUCCCCUGGCUAAACCACCGUUCCCGCCUUCCGUGGGUUUCCAUGCUCUGCCCCCUCCCACUUGCUGUCCUGGCUGCUUCAGUUCAUCAACAUCCCCCCGAGAGUGUGGAGCCCAGAAUGGGUACCUUGUUCUCCCUUGUUUUGCUUGAAUGCAGGAAAUAAAUCUCCGUUUCAGUAACUGGACCGUCAAAGACUAUAAUCUGUGUCCUGAACAAGACUCAAGGGACGGGACCAUAGUAAGACUGAGUGCCAACUGAGUACUUACUGUGUGCAGAUGGCGGUAACACUGCCGGGGGACACGAGGAGAGGCGCUGAGCGGUGGGUGGCCUGCGCUGGUGCCUGCCGUUCUCCUGACAGUUCCAUGAAGUAGGUGCUCUUCCUGGGGGCUGCCUGGGCUCAAAAGCCAUCUGUGGCUCCAGACUCCGCCCGCGUCCAGGCUCAGUGGCUGUGCCCGCUCUCUGCAUCGCCACGGCGGGCUCCACUGGCUGCACAUCCG
This 3257-nucleotide long non-coding RNA is filed under the name Equus caballus (horse). RNAcentral describes it as "lncRNA (ENSECAG00000028012.3)". Lineage: Eukaryota; Metazoa; Chordata; Mammalia; Perissodactyla; Equidae. The record is from RNAcentral.